This 2902-nucleotide ribosomal RNA is filed under the name Escherichia coli 2-052-05_S1_C3. RNAcentral's name for it is "bacterial LSU rRNA". It matches the Rfam family "Bacterial large subunit ribosomal RNA". The record is from RNAcentral. Lineage: Bacteria; Pseudomonadati; Pseudomonadota; Gammaproteobacteria; Enterobacterales; Enterobacteriaceae.
UUAAGCGACUAAGCGUACACGGUGGAUGCCCUGGCAGUCAGAGGCGAUGAAGGACGUUCUAAUCUGCGAUAAGCGUCGGUAAGGUGAUAUGAACCGUUAUAACCGGCGAUUUCCGAAUGGGGAAACCCAGUGUGUUUCGACACACUAUCAUUAACUGAAUCCAUAGGUUAAUGAGGCGAACCGGGGGAACUGAAACAUCUAAGUACCCCGAGGAAAAGAAAUCAACCGAGAUUCCCCCAGUAGCGGCGAGCGAACGGGGAGGAGCCCAGAGCCUGAAUCAGUGUGUGUGUUAGUGGAAGCGUCUGGAAAGGCGCGCGAUACAGGGUGACAGCCCCGUACACAAAAAUGCACAUACUGUGAGCUCGAUGAGUAGGGCGGGACACGUGGUAUCCUGUCUGAAUAUGGGGGGACCAUCCUCCAAGGCUAAAUACUCCUGACUGACCGAUAGUGAACCAGUACCGUGAGGGAAAGGCGAAAAGAACCCCGGCGAGGGGAGUGAAAAAGAACCUGAAACCGUGUACGUACAAGCAGUGGGAGCACGCUUAGGCGUGUGACUGCGUACCUUUUGUAUAAUGGGUCAGCGACUUAUAUUCUGUAGCAAGGUUAACCGAAUAGGGGAGCCGAAGGGAAACCGAGUCUUAACUGGGCGUUAAGUUGCAGGGUAUAGACCCGAAACCCGGUGAUCUAGCCAUGGGCAGGUUGAAGGUUGGGUAACACUAACUGGAGGACCGAACCGACUAAUGUUGAAAAAUUAGCGGAUGACUUGUGGCUGGGGGUGAAAGGCCAAUCAAACCGGGAGAUAGCUGGUUCUCCCCGAAAGCUAUUUAGGUAGCGCCUCGUGAACUCAUCUCCGGGGGUAGAGCACUGUUUCGGCAAGGGGGUCAUCCCGACUUACCAACCCGAUGCAAACUGCGAAUACCGGAGAAUGUUAUCACGGGAGACACACGGCGGGUGCUAACGUCCGUCGUGAAGAGGGAAACAACCCAGACCGCCAGCUAAGGUCCCAAAGUCAUGGUUAAGUGGGAAACGAUGUGGGAAGGCCCAGACAGCCAGGAUGUUGGCUUAGAAGCAGCCAUCAUUUAAAGAAAGCGUAAUAGCUCACUGGUCGAGUCGGCCUGCGCGGAAGAUGUAACGGGGCUAAACCAUGCACCGAAGCUGCGGCAGCGACGCUGAUGCGUUGUUGGGUAGGGGAGCGUUCUGUAAGCCUGUGAAGGUGUGCUGUGAGGCAUGCUGGAGGUAUCAGAAGUGCGAAUGCUGACAUAAGUAACGAUAAAGCGGGUGAAAAGCCCGCUCGCCGGAAGACCAAGGGUUCCUGUCCAACGUUAAUCGGGGCAGGGUGAGUCGACCCCUAAGGCGAGGCCGAAAGGCGUAGUCGAUGGGAAACAGGUUAAUAUUCCUGUACUUGGUGUUACUGCGAAGGGGGGACGGAGAAGGCUAUGUUGGCCGGGCGACGGUUGUCCCGGUUUAAGCGUGUAGGCUGGUUUUCCAGGCAAAUCCGGAAAAUCAAGGCUGAGGCGUGAUGACGAGGCACUACGGUGCUGAAGCAACAAAUGCCCUGCUUCCAGGAAAAGCCUCUAAGCAUCAGGUAACAUCAAAUCGUACCCCAAACCGACACAGGUGGUCAGGUAGAGAAUACCAAGGCGCUUGAGAGAACUCGGGUGAAGGAACUAGGCAAAAUGGUGCCGUAACUUCGGGAGAAGGCACGCUGAUAUGUAGGUGAAGUCCCUCGCGGAUGGAGCUGAAAUCAGUCGAAGAUACCAGCUGGCUGCAACUGUUUAUUAAAAACACAGCACUGUGCAAACACGAAAGUGGACGUAUACGGUGUGACGCCUGCCCGGUGCCGGAAGGUUAAUUGAUGGGGUCAGCGCAAGCGAAGCUCUUGAUCGAAGCCCCGGUAAACGGCGGCCGUAACUAUAACGGUCCUAAGGUAGCGAAAUUCCUUGUCGGGUAAGUUCCGACCUGCACGAAUGGCGUAAUGAUGGCCAGGCUGUCUCCACCCGAGACUCAGUGAAAUUGAACUCGCUGUGAAGAUGCAGUGUACCCGCGGCAAGACGGAAAGACCCCGUGAACCUUUACUAUAGCUUGACACUGAACAUUGAGCCUUGAUGUGUAGGAUAGGUGGGAGGCUUAGAAGUGUGGACGCCAGUCUGCAUGGAGCCGACCUUGAAAUACCACCCUUUAAUGUUUGAUGUUCUAACGUUGACCCGUAAUCCGGGUUGCGGACAGUGUCUGGUGGGUAGUUUGACUGGGGCGGUCUCCUCCUAAAGAGUAACGGAGGAGCACGAAGGUUGGCUAAUCCUGGUCGGACAUCAGGAGGUUAGUGCAAUGGCAUAAGCCAGCUUGACUGCGAGCGUGACGGCGCGAGCAGGUGCGAAAGCAGGUCAUAGUGAUCCGGUGGUUCUGAAUGGAAGGGCCAUCGCUCAACGGAUAAAAGGUACUCCGGGGAUAACAGGCUGAUACCGCCCAAGAGUUCAUAUCGACGGCGGUGUUUGGCACCUCGAUGUCGGCUCAUCACAUCCUGGGGCUGAAGUAGGUCCCAAGGGUAUGGCUGUUCGCCAUUUAAAGUGGUACGCGAGCUGGGUUUAGAACGUCGUGAGACAGUUCGGUCCCUAUCUGCCGUGGGCGCUGGAGAACUGAGGGGGGCUGCUCCUAGUACGAGAGGACCGGAGUGGACGCAUCACUGGUGUUCGGGUUGUCAUGCCAAUGGCACUGCCCGGUAGCUAAAUGCGGAAGAGAUAAGUGCUGAAAGCAUCUAAGCACGAAACUUGCCCCGAGAUGAGUUCUCCCUGACCCUUUAAGGGUCCUGAAGGAACGUUGAAGACGACGACGUUGAUAGGCCGGGUGUGUAAGCGCAGCGAUGCGUUGAGCUAACCGGUACUAAUGAACCGUGAGGCUUAACCUU